Long non-coding RNA from Triplophysa dalaica, 415 nucleotides. RefSeq lists it as uncharacterized. The record is from RefSeq and is a predicted model, not a curated record. NCBI's taxonomy places the organism in Eukaryota, Metazoa, Chordata, Actinopteri, Cypriniformes, Nemacheilidae. The transcript has 4 exons.
AGUCCAUUAAUGGACUACAUUUGACAAUAUUAACAAACAUUUGUGUUUAGGAAUAUGGAUAACACGUCUAGGAUAAAGUAGAUUAAACGGAUUCGAAGGAAUAGUUUAUAUAACGAGUGAAGGCGAACACACCUUCCGUUUUAACCACGUAUUCCUGUUGCUUUUGGUCGUAAUUAUCUGAAGCGCUUCUGGAGAGGCGGUGAAUGAGGGGGCGGGAGAGAUAAGGAAGAGCCAGAGAGUGAGAGACGAAUGGUCCGUUGUUCGCCCACACAUCUUCAGUAGUGAUCUCUAUCUCUGGCUCGGUGAAGUAUUCAGAUGCCACACAUCUCCCCUUCUCUGGCCCUGAGACAGAAAGAACGAGAAAGAGCAAGAGAGAGAGAGAGAGAGAGAGAGAGAAGAGGACACAAGAGAGAGA